UAGGGAAUCUUCGGCAAUGGACGAAAGUCUGACCGAGCAACGCCGCGUGAGUGAAGAAGGUUUUCGGAUCGUAAAACUCUGUUGUUAGAGAAGAACAAGGACGUUAGUAACUGAACGUCCCCUGACGGUAUCUAACCAGAAAGCCACGGCUAACUACGUGCCAGCAGCCGCGGUAAUACGUAGGUGGCAAGCGUUGUCCGGAUUUAUUGGGCGUAAAGCGAGCGCAGGCGGUUUCUUAAGUCUGAUGUGAAAGCCCCCGGCUCAACCGGGGAGGGUCAUUGGAGAAUGGGAGACUUGAGUGCAGAAGAGGAGAGUGGAAUUCCAUGUGUAGCGGUGAAAUGCGUAGAUAUAUGGAGGAACACCAGUGGCGAAGGCGGCUCUCUGGUCUGUAACUGACGCUGAGGCUCGAAAGCGUGGGGAGCAAACAGG
RNAcentral lists this ribosomal RNA (429 nucleotides) under Gemmatimonadota bacterium. RNAcentral describes it as "Gemmatimonadetes bacterium partial 16S ribosomal RNA". It matches the Rfam family "Bacterial small subunit ribosomal RNA", at positions 355 to 776 of the family's 1533-position model. Lineage: Bacteria; Pseudomonadati; Gemmatimonadota. The record is from RNAcentral.